RNA transcript from Phlebotomus argentipes, 3050 nucleotides. It is a transcript of the gene named protein N-terminal asparagine amidohydrolase, with no coding region annotated. NCBI's taxonomy places the organism in Eukaryota, Metazoa, Arthropoda, Insecta, Diptera, Psychodidae. The record is from RefSeq and is a predicted model, not a curated record. The transcript has 6 exons.
UUGUCUUUAACCCCUUUACAUGUUAAUCAGAAAAUAUAUAUUUCAACAAUACCAUUUGCUAAUUUUUGUAUUUGAUUGUUAGCGGCUUCUGAUGGCAAUCAAGAGCAGAAAAUUGAACAGAUGAAGGAAUAACUACUGUCUAAUCGCUGCAACUGCUUCGCGAAAUACGACAAAUGCUUAUUAAGCCGACGAUCGCAAUAGGCAAGCUGUCCUCAUCGCCAAUUUGUGCUGCAUGUCCCUGCAAAUGCAUUGGACCACUGCAGAGGCCAGUGGCUUUAAUCGGCGUUGAACAGUAUUGACACACAAUAAUGAAUUCUAAUGAUGCAAUUGAGAAUACAUCGUUUGUAAAUGAAGAUUUAUCAGAGGAAUAUGAGCACUUGAUCUCAUUAUGCUGGGAUUCAGGAAAUAUGUCUGCCACUUUCAUCACCCUGCAGACGAUGGAAAUGUUCGUGGUGCCGGAAAUAACGGAUUUGCGCCCAAUGUUUUCCUACACCCACAAUCUCUUUCGUCAACUCAACCCUAUCGUGGUGCUGGCGAGUGGCCAUGAGAGUUUUCUGCGUGAGAUAAUGACUCUCCUGAAGCUUCCUGAGGAGGCUGACCCCAAAGAUUAUGUGAGCGCGGCGAAUCAGAGUGGCCGGAAUAACUUUGUGGUCUUUCCGCAGAGUGAGAAGAGUGUGGGACAGAAUCGCCAGCGCCUGUGGAAUAUCAAUCUAUCAGGUUUCCACAGUGAGGUGGAGAAGCAGUCGUACUUGAAGACCCAGAUACCGCCACAUCAGAAAUUGGUGAUUCAGAGUGCGGGCAAUUUGCUGAAGUAUAUGGAAACAAAUUGGAAAUCCAUAUCGCCGCAAGACAAUACCAACAUGCCCAUAAUCACAUCGCUAAAAGUGUUCUCCCUCAAAAGUCAAGUCUUAAUCGACGACUCGUCAUAUCUGGCACUGGAAAUCUUCAACACAGCUCCACAUCCGUCGGGCUUCAAGAAGGGUCUCAAAGGUACCGAACAGACUGGCUUUUCGCUCUAUCGAUUGCUAAAUCACUGCCAAUCGAAAAUUGGCUGCGAUGAGAUGAAAAUGAUAUUUCAACAGCCGACUAAUGAGAUUUCCGUUCUCAACAAGAGAUUUGAGACAAUCGAGUGGUGCAUGAGUGCACAAAAUGCUGGCACGGUGGAGCGUUUGAGGAAAAUGCUGAGGCACGUGUACGAGAUAAGUCGGUGUUUUAGGAAAAUUCUCGAGAAUCCCAACAAGAUGUAUUUCUGGAAAAUCUUCCGCACCAGCAUCACAAAUGCCUUCCAUGUAGCCGAAUUGUGCCGCGACAGCACACAGCCUGGUGAGAAGUGUGGAGUUGUUGGAGAUUUGCGCGAUGCUAUAGAGAGUCAGGUUGACAUAAUGGUUGUGUUUAUGGCAAUCAACGAAAUUAUUGAUUUUGACGAGGGUGUCGCACAGAAUAAAUUCACCGUGCACAUGGGUUUCGACGCGGAGUUGGAUAAAUUGAAGGAGUACUUCAAGAGGAUACAAGCAGACGUUCCGGAUGAUACCAAGGAGGAGAUCAGGCGCCUUUUCCCCGCUUAUGAUAGCUGUGAAUUUACAUUGGUGCCCGAGAUGGGCUUUGUCGUGUCCAUUAAGAGCCCCCUCAACAGUCCUGUGAGCAUUGACUCAUCUAGUGCGAGUGCUGCGAAUGGUGGUUUUAAAUUCCUCUAUAAGACCGAAGGAUACUACUACUACAGUGCUCCAUACUGUGUGGAAAUGAAUACGAAGUAUGGGCACAUUCACCAUGACAUCUGCUUGAAGGAGCAAGAGAUAUGCAGUGAACUCAUCAACUCCAUGGCGAAAAACAUCGGCAAAUUGCUCAAUAUUGUGAAGUACUGCGCCCAAUUGGAUUGCUUCAUGGCAUUCGCUGCCGUGGCGGCGACACGCAAAUAUGUUCGACCGCAAAUGAGCCAGGAUAAAGUGGUGAAAAUUGAAGCAGGGCGCCAUGCACUGCAGGAGGAGUGCGAUAAUUUCAUACCGAAUGACAUUCAUGUGGCGGAAUCGAGAGAGAAUCUCAUAACAAUAAUAACAGCACCCAAUUCAGCCGGAAAGUCCAUUUAUCUGAAGCAAGUCGGAAUUAUAGUGUACUUAGCUCACAUCGGAUGCUAUGUACCUGCCGCCUCGGCGCACAUUGGCACCAUCGACUCCAUCUACUCACGGAUUCACAGCACUGAGGCUAUGCACCAGGGCGCAUCCUCCUUUCUCUAUGAUCUCCAGCAGAUGGGCAAAGUGAUGAUCAACUCAAGCAGUCGCUGUCUCAUACUCAUUGACGAGUUCGGCACCGGAACGAAUGUCAAUGAGGGAAAGAGUCUUCUCGUGGCGUGCAUUGAGGAUUUGUCGAGGCGAGGCAAAUCGGCACCCAUUGCCCUCUUCUCCACCCACUACAUGGAUGUGGUGGAUCUGUGUGAGUCACGUGAGAUGGUGAAGGAGAUCACAAUCAAGAGCUACUUUGAUGACAACGGCAGGCUUCAGACGACCUACAAGAUUGUCGAUGGGCGUUGUCCUCUGCAGUACGCUAAUGAAUUGCACAAUAUUCGACGAUCUGAGGAGGGUCUGCGGGUGUUCACCGAUGACAGGCUGAAGAUGAUUCAAGACACAAUGAAAUCCACUGGCCAGCCUGACGCCGCGAAAUUGGUGAAAAACAAGACAGUAUGUGCGUUUGAAGUGAUGAAGACAUAUUUGGCGUCAAACAGAAAUAUUGAUGAGACCAUUAAGAAGUUCUAUGAAUAUGAAAUUGAAUAAUAAUGGCUCAACUUAAGGCGUAAUGAAAUGUUGUUAGCGGCGACAGAAUGUGCGCAAGUGUUGGGACUUUUGCAGGGUGUCUGUCGGUGAGAAUUAUUCAUUUUAAAAUUGCAGGGCGUUAUUUGUGAAUAAUUUCGAUGUGGAGAAUUAUUGAAUUGUGGCGAAGAGAGCAAAGAGAGAAGACGAAGCUGCUGCUGAUAACAUAGUCUGUAACAUUCAACCCGCUAUCCAUACAUACCUUCUUCAGGAGGAGAAAGAUAUCCUUAAGCGACGCGUAACAAACUG